This is a small nucleolar RNA of Drosophila kikkawai, 140 nucleotides long. RefSeq annotates it as small nucleolar RNA psi18S-841/snoR66. NCBI's taxonomy places the organism in Eukaryota, Metazoa, Arthropoda, Insecta, Diptera, Drosophilidae. The record is from RefSeq and is a predicted model, not a curated record.
AGCAAAUGCACUCUGUGUCACAUUGAUUUAUAGCCUCAUGUGAUGACAAUUUGUUAAUUUGCCAGAUCAAGGGAAUGCGUCUUAUCCAUGUAGUCAAACCCCAAUCUGGGUAAUUGCAUUGAAAACGCAUUUAACAUAAA